Molecule: ribosomal RNA, 836 nt
Filed under: uncultured Bacteroidota bacterium
Lineage: Bacteria; Pseudomonadati; Bacteroidota
Description: bacterial SSU rRNA
Rfam family: Bacterial small subunit ribosomal RNA
Source: RNAcentral
AGUCGAGGGGUAUAGGUUUUCGGAUCUAGAGACCGGCGCACGGGUGCGUAACGCGUAUGCAAUCUACCUUUUGCAGAGGGAUAGCCCAGAGAAAUUUGGAUUAAUACCUCAUAGUAUGCAGAGUUGGCAUCAACACUGCAUUAAAGUCACAACGGCAAAAGAUGAGCAUGCGUCCCAUUAGCUAGUUGGUAAGGUAACGGCUUACCAAGGCUACGAUGGGUAGGGGUCCUGAGAGGGAGAUCCCCCACACUGGUACUGAGACACGGACCAGACUCCUACGGGAGGCAGCAGUGAGGAAUAUUGGACAAUGGGCGCAAGCCUGAUCCAGCCAUGCCGCGUGCAGGAUGACGGUCCUAUGGAUUGUAAACUGCUUUUGCACAGGAAGAAACAACGCUACGUGUAGCGUCUUGACGGUACUGUGAGAAUAAGGAUCGGCUAACUCCGUGCCAGCAGCCGCGGUAAUACGGAGGAUCCAAGCGUUAUCCGGAAUCAUUGGGUUUAAAGGGUCCGUAGGCGGUUUAGUAAGUCAGUGGUGAAAGCCCAUCGCUCAACGGUGGAACGGCCAUUGAUACUGCUAGACUUGAAUUAUUAGGAAGUAACUAGAAUAUGUAGUGUAGCGGUGAAAUGCUUAGAGAUUACAUGGAAUACCAAUUGCGAAGGCAGGUUACUACUAAUGGAUUGACGCUGAUGGACGAAAGCGUGGGUAGCGAACAGGAUUAGAUACCCUGGUAGUCCACGCCGUANACGAUGGAUACUAGCUGUUGGGAGCGAUCUCAGUGGCUAAGCGAAAGUGAUAAGUAUCCCACCUGGGGAGUACGUUCGCAAGAAUGAAACUC